RNAcentral lists this ribosomal RNA (493 nucleotides) under uncultured bacterium. Its description in RNAcentral is "partial 16S ribosomal RNA". It matches the Rfam family "Bacterial small subunit ribosomal RNA", at positions 28 to 506 of the family's 1533-position model. The record is from RNAcentral.
GACGAACGCUGGCGGCGUGCUUAACACAUGCAAGUCGAACGGAAAGGCCUGCUUUCCCUUGUGGAUUGCGGGUACUCGAGUGGCAAACGGGUGAGUAACACGUGAGUGAUCUGCCCCCAACUUGGGUAUAAGCCUGGGAAACUGGGUCUAAUUCCCGAUAGGACUGCAGGGUGGUGCCUGUGGUGGAAAGCGAUUUUCUAGUGGUUGGGGAUGAGCUCGCGGCCUAUCAGCUUGUUGGUGGGGUAAUGGCCUACCAAGGCGGCGACGGGUAGCCGGCCUGAGAGGGUGGACGGCCACAGUGGGACUGAGAUACGGCCCAGACUCCUACGGGAGGCAGCAGUGGGGAAUAUUGCACAAUGGGCGGAAGCCUGAUGCAGCGACGCCGCGUGGGGGAUGACGGCCUUCGGGUUGUAAACUCCUUUCGACCGCGAGGAAGCCACCUGGUUGGAAGGGUGGUGACGGUAGUGGUAGAAGAAGCACCGGCUAACUACGU